This 460-nucleotide ribosomal RNA is filed under the name uncultured bacterium. RNAcentral's name for it is "partial 16S ribosomal RNA". It matches the Rfam family "Bacterial small subunit ribosomal RNA", at positions 338 to 795 of the family's 1533-position model. The record is from RNAcentral.
CCUACGGGUGGCAGCAGUGAGGAAUAUUGGUCAAUGGACGAGAGCCUGAACCAGCCACGCCGCGUGAAGGAUGACUGCCCUAUGGGUUGUAAACUUCUUUUAUAUGGGAAUAAAUUGUUCUACGUGUGGGAUUUUGUACGUCUCAUAUGAUUCAGGAUAGGCUAACUCCGGGCCAGCAGUCGCGGUAAUACGGAGGAUCCGAGCGUUAUCCGGAUUUAUUGGGUUUAACGGGAGCGUAGGUGGAUGUUUAAGUCAGUUGUGAAAGUUUGCGGCUCAACCGUAAAAUUGCAGUUGAAACUGGCAGUCUUGAGUACAGUAGAGGUGGGCGGAAUUCGUGGUGUAGCGGUGAAAUGCUUAGAUAUCACGAAGAACUCCGAUUGCGAAGGCAGCUCACUGGACUGCAACUGACACUGAGGCUCGAAAGUGUGGGUAGCAAACAGGAUUAGAUACCCGGGUAGUC